RNAcentral lists this ribosomal RNA (903 nucleotides) under uncultured bacterium. Its description in RNAcentral is "bacterial SSU rRNA". It matches the Rfam family "Bacterial small subunit ribosomal RNA", at positions 33 to 928 of the family's 1533-position model. The record is from RNAcentral.
ACGCUGGCGGCAGGCUUACACAUGCAAGUCGAACGGUAGCAGGAGAAAGCUUGCUUUCUUGCUGACGAGUGGCGGACGGGUGAGUAAUGCUUGGGAAUCUGGCUUAUGGAGGGGGAUAACGACGGGAAACUGUCGCUAAUACCGCGUAUUAUCGGAAGAUGAAAGUGCGGGACUGAGAGGCCGCAUGCCAUAGGAUGAGCCCAAGUGGGAUUAGGUAGUUGGUGGGGUAAAGGCCUACCAAGCCUGCGAUCUCUAGCUGGUCUGAGAGGAUGGCCAGCCACACUGGAACUGAGACACGGUCCAGACUCCUACGGGAGGCAGCAGUGGGGAAUAUUGCGCAAUGGGGGGAACCCUGACGCAGCCAUGCCGCGUGAAUGAAGAAGGCCUUCGGGUUGUAAAGUUCUUUCGGUAUUGAGGAAGGUUGAUGUGUUAAUAGCACAUCAAAUUGACGUUAAAUACAGAAGAAGCACCGGCUAACUCCGUGCCAGCAGCCGCGGUAAUACGGAGGGUGCGAGCGUUAAUCGGAAUAACUGGGCGUAAAGGGCACGCAGGCGGUUAUUUAAGUGAGGUGUGAAAGCCCUGGGCUUAACCUAGGAAUUGCAUUUCAGACUGGGUAACUAGAGUACUUUAGGGAGGGGUAGAAUUCCACGUGUAGCGGUGAAAUGCGUAGAGAUGUGGAGGAAUACCGAAGGCGAAGGCAGCCCCUUGGGAAUGUACUGACGCUCAUGUGCGAAAGCGUGGGGAGCAAACAGGAUUAGAUACCCUGGUAGUCCACGCUGUAAACGCUGUCGAUUUGGGGGUUGGGGUUUAACUUUGGCGCCCGUAGCUAACGUGAUAAAUCGACCGCCUGGGGAGUACGGCCGCAAGGUUAAAACUCAAAUGAAUUGACGGGGGCCCGCACAA